Picea glauca (white spruce) is the source of this 117-nucleotide non-coding RNA. NCBI's taxonomy places the organism in Eukaryota, Viridiplantae, Streptophyta, Pinopsida, Pinales, Pinaceae. The record is from Rfam.
UUAUUAGAGCAUAGUGUUAAUGCAUCGGAUCCCAUUACAACUCCAAAGUUAAGCACGCUCGGGCUAGAGUAGUGUUGGGAUGGGUGACUUCCCGAGAAGUCUUAGUGUUUUACAUGC